This 246-nucleotide long non-coding RNA is filed under the name Phoenix dactylifera (date palm). RNAcentral describes it as "long non-coding RNA (PDAC_LNC008624)". The record is from RNAcentral. Lineage: Eukaryota; Viridiplantae; Streptophyta; Magnoliopsida; Arecales; Arecaceae.
GUGAGUAUCAUACCAUAGGGCAGGGAGACUCUCGACUUGCAUAUAGCCUCUCUCAUCUGCCUGAUCAUCAUAGCUGGGAGGUUCAGGGGAAUGCCCUGAAUAACGUGUUCCAUAAUGACCAAAUCUCUCUCAGAUAUAUGAUCAAAUCUUCCACUUUUCGAAAACAAAAUUUGACCUAUGAAGUUGUGCAACAACCUCAUCUCAGCUGAUAGGGAGCUCGCUAUCACAUUCUCAGAAUAGUCAAAA